CCCACCUCUUGCUGCUGGGUCACAGCCAGUCCACUUUGUUUGUUUUUGAGAUGGAGUCUCGCUCUGUCACCCAGGCUGGAGUGCAGUGGCGCGAUCUCAGCUCACUGCAGUCUCCACCUCCCGGGUUCAUUCUCCUGCCUCGGCCUCCUGAGUAGCUGGGACUACAGCCGCGCGCCACCGUGCCUGGCUAAUUUUUGUAGUAGAGACGGGGUUUCACCAUGUUAGCCAUGCGAGUCUUGAACUCCUGGCCUCAGGUGAUCCGCCCGCCUCGGCCUUCCAAAGUGCUGAGAUUACAGGCGUCAGCCACCGCACCUGGCCAGCCAGUCCACUUUGUCUCCUUGAUGAACCUGGUCCCUUUGGGCAUAUGAGUCUGUGGCUCUGGAUGAUGGUGCUCAAGGCAGCUUCAGUGAAGAGCCUGGGGCCCCAAGCGAGCUCUGAGAGCAGCCGAGGCUUCUAAUUUGGAAGGGGUCAUGUGGACCGGAAGGAUGAAGAGCUGAAUGGUCACCCAAGUGGAUGGAGGACCUAGACGCCUCUCAGCACUGUGUGAAACCCAAGAACCAACACCCAACCCCAGAAAGGCAUGGAAAAGUCAAGAAGGACUGAAGUUUACUUUUAUGCCAGCGCAGCAACGUGGAGGAUAUGAGUCGGAGAUUCAGGUCCAGCUUAUCCCCUCCAAAGACGAAAGACAAUUUUUAGGAGGGCUUCUCACGUGCACAGGACAAGCACAGUGAUGGAGUCUUGCUAUGGCUGGUCUCAAACUCCUGGCCUCAAGUGAUCCUCCCACCUUGGCCUCCCGAAGCACUGGGAUUACAGAACAGUUUGCUGAUGCUUGCCCUCAAAGAUGGCAGAUCCACAGAUAGAAGGAGCCUGGUUUGUGAGUAGCAGCAUCGGAAGCUCAACAUGGAUGGCUGCUGGGAAUCUCCACGUGGGACUCUUCAUAAGGGAGAAAUCAACAGUUAGCACAGUCAUGGAAGACAGUCAAAUGGGUACUCAGCAAGUACCUUCCCAAGCUCCCUUGCAGGGAUGGUGGUCAUGUGACACAGAUCUGACCAAUGAGAUGUGAGCAUUGCUCUCCUCUCCCAGUGCAUUACCAGAAAUGGGAUCACAUUUGCAGAGCUGCACAGAGGGAUGCUUCAAGGAGAGGGGACGAUACUCGUCCAGGAUCUGGGAUUCCCAAACAUCCUUCUGGUCAGCCAGUAUAUGGAGCCGUUGUUAAGCUUUGGAAUCAGACUUCCUAGGUUCGUAUCUGGCUUCUGCACAACUUACUGGUUGUGUAAUCUCAGCCUGAGCCUCAGUUUCCUCAUGUUGAAAUAGGAACAGUAAUCAUACUAUAUUCUCAGGUUGUUGGGGCAACUAGAUCAGUGUGUAAGCCCCAUGAGGGGAGGAUCCUGUUCAUCUUACCAUGACAUAUUCACAUUCCAGUGUGAGUACCUAACAGUAGGCACCUAACAGAUUUGUAUAGAGAAAAUAGAUGUACAGGUCUUAGCAGAGUGACCAGUUCAAGAAAUCUUACCUAAAAAACUAAAUUGACUGGGCAUAGUGGUUCAUGCCUGUAAUCCCAGCGCUUUGGGAGGCCGAGGGGGGUGGAUCACCUGAGGUCAGGAGUUUGAGUGCAGCCUGGCCAACAUGGUGAAAACCCGUGUCUACUAAAAAUACAAAAAAAUUAGCCAAAAGACAAAACAAACAAACAAAAAAACCCUAAAUGAAUGCCAGGCAUGGUGGCUCACAUCUGUAAUCCCAGCACUUUGGGAGGCUGAGGUAGGAGGAUUGCUUGAGGUCAGGAGUUCAAGACCAGCCUGGGCAACAUAGUGAGACCCCGUCUCUAUAAAAAAUUAGCUGGGCAUGGUGGCGUGUGCCUGUAGUCCCAUCUACUCAGGAAGCUGAGGCAGGAGGAUCACUUGAAUCCAGGAGUUCAGGGAAGCAGUGAGCUAUGAUCCCACCACUGUACUCCAGAGCCUGGGCAACAGAGUGAGACCCUGUCUCUAAAACAAAGAAACAAACAAAACACCCAAUUCUUACUGAGGCCAUAGAUUCCUGCAGAAGAUUCCAGGGCAGCAGAGGGAGGGGGAAGACAUGGUUAGCUGGUGCCCCUUCCACCUCUCUCCAUUGAAUAGAUCAGCUUUUAUCAGAUUUAUGCAAGGGAUUCAUUCCUGAAGCUAUGCAUUAUUUAAGACUAAAUUUCCCAGAGGGAUGCAUGUAAAGCAAGACGUGCAUUAUUUCAAAAUUGGAGCAUACGGCAUGUCUUUAUUAAUAUUUUUAAAUUGCCUCGUAUCUAAGUCACACAAUGCAAAUUUGCAUAAAAUGAGAUGCACUGUUUUAGGAUUCUCGACAAGGUUGAGUGGGCAAGAAAGUUUCUGAAGGUUAAAAAGCUCACACCGUAGUACUGGCCUCCCAAAUUUGUGGUGGGGGCUGCAAUUAGUGGUGAGGGUGGUCAUCAUCAUUUGACAUUAAAAGUAGCUUAAUACAUGUUGAGGAACAAUUUACUUUAAUGACAUUUAAACUGAUUCAAAGUUAUUGCGGGAAACUGAAUUAUUGAAAAUUAAUUGGUCUUCCCCCCCCUUUUUUUCUCACUGCUUUUGGUUUAUCAGAAAGAAGCGAGAGAAAUCUUUCCUUCCAUUUCCCUAGGACCCUGCUCCAAACUCAGUGGUUUUUAAAUCCCAGUAUGCAUAUUAAUAACCCAAGGAACUGGCUGGGCUCCUGCCCCCUAGAAGUUGAGGUGGACCCAGGACUCUGCAUUUUUAAUGGACACUUUAGGAGACUCUGAUGUGGGUGAUAAGAACACUGGGUGUUUGCGGCUACAAGGUGCAGGAGAAUUAGCUGGCUUGUCUGGGAAGCAGAGGCAGAGGGAAUGGGGAUGUGGAUGGGCUUUGUUGCAAAGGGCCCUUCAAGGUGGCAGGUCUCAGGUGGGAGUGGCUCUGUGAGGGCUGUGCAAGCUGAACUUUCAGUCCUGAAGCCUUGGGAAUAUUGUUCACGGUGCCUGAAACAGGGUUGUGCCAGUGGAGAGGACCUUUGAGGGGCGUAUAUCAUCCAUCUCAAAGGGUGAUUUUUAAGAGAGGUAUUGUGCAUCAAUCAGGGUGACAAUAUCUGUAGCAAAUAUGAUAAUCACUCACUAAGCGCCAGGCCCUAGUCUCACUGUCUUAAAUACACUAACUCAUAGGUCUUGUUAUGCUAUUACCCCCAUUUUACAAAUGAGGAAACUGGGAGCACAGAGAAGUUCAGCGACUUGCCCAAGGUCACUCAGCCGGUGAACGGCAGAGCCAGCGUUUGAAUUUAGGCAGUAAGCUAUAAUGUCUAUUCUUGGCCCUGUGCCCUUUGGCCUCAACAGAGACUGUGAGGAUGGUGACCACACAAACUGAAGACUGAAUCCUUUUUAAUUUGAACCAAAUCCUGAGAUGCUUGUAAGAUCCACAGAGAGAGGAGGACUCUGGAAAUUGACCAUUGUUGAACUCAUUGUCUAGGCUAACUGAUACGGUUUGGCUGUGUCCCCACCCAAAUCUCAUCUUGAAUUGUAGCUUCCAUAAUUCCCAUGUGUCAUGGGACGGACUGGUGGGAGGUAAUUGAAUUAUGGGGGUGGAUCCCCCGCUACCGCUCUCGUAGUGGUGAAUAAGUCUCAUGAGAUCUGAUGGUUUUGCUUGGCUCUUUUGCUUGGCUCUCAUUCUGUCUUGUCUGCUGCCGUGGAAGAAGUGCCUUUUGCCUUCUGCCAUGAUUGUGAGGCCUCCCUAACUAUGUGAAACUGUGAGUCCAUUAAAUCUCUUUUUCUUUAUACAUUACUCAGUCUUGGGUAUGUCUUUAUCAACAGCAUGAGAACAGACGAAUACACUAACUAAUGGAGGAAUGACUUGAUUCAGAAAUGUAAAGAAAUGGGACGGCUUGCACCUCAGGAGUUCUAGAGCAGUUCCUGCCUGUGGCUCCAAUAAGAAUGUCAAGGUCACUGGAUUGCAUUUUAUGUGUUUUCUUUCCUAAUUUGAUUUUUGGAAUAGAUGCUGUGCUAUAUUUACAUCGCUCGAAAAUCAAAAUAACAUAAAAAGAUAUUUCCAAAAAGCACUAAUCUAUGUCAUCUCUCUGUCCAUUGUGUUCUCCUUCUGCUCGUAGAUGGUCACAUUUAGUACUUUGCUGUAUCUUCUUCCAGUGUUUUUUUUGUUUUGUUUUGUUUUAUUUUUUGACAGAGUUUUUGCUCGUUGUUCAGCCCUGAAUGCAAUGGUGUGAUCUUGGCUCACUGCAACCUCUGCCUCCUGGGUUCAGGUGAUUCCCCUGCCUUAGCUUUCUGAGUAGCUGGGAUUACAGGCGCCCGCCACCACAGCCGGCUAAUUUUUGUAAUUUUAGUGGAGACGAGGUUUCACCAUGUUGGCCAGGCUGGUCUCGAACUCUUGACCUCAGGUGAUACACCCACCUCAGCCUCCCAAAGUCCUAGGAUUACAGGCAUGAGCCACUGCACCUGGCCUUCCAGUUUUUGUUUUGUUUUGUUUUUAUUCAAAUACAAGCAACCGUGUGUGUGUGUGUGUGUGUGUGUGUGUGUGUGUGUGUGUGUGUGUGUGUAUUUAUGUUCCCCCUCCUUAAUUACACAACAGGUAGCAAACCCUACAUACUCUUCUAUAAGCUGUGUUGACGAAAAGAGUCAAACUGUAAAAUAUUUAAAGAGAUUUAUUCUG
RNAcentral lists this long non-coding RNA (4649 nucleotides) under Homo sapiens (human). Its description in RNAcentral is "HSALNT0229222". The stretch from base 1836 to 1985 matches the Rfam family "Metazoan signal recognition particle RNA". Lineage: Eukaryota; Metazoa; Chordata; Mammalia; Primates; Hominidae. The record is from RNAcentral.